This 661-nucleotide ribosomal RNA is filed under the name uncultured bacterium. RNAcentral's name for it is "bacterial SSU rRNA". It matches the Rfam family "Bacterial small subunit ribosomal RNA", at positions 9 to 650 of the family's 1533-position model. The record is from RNAcentral.
GAGUUUGAUCCUGGCUCAGAGCGAACGCUGGCGGCACGCUUUACACAUGCAAGUCGAGCGAGAAAGCGGCUUCGGUCGCAAGUAUAGCGGCGGACGGGUGCGUAUAACGUGGAUAACCUGCCUUAAGGACCGGGACAACCUUGGGAAACCAAGGCUAAUACCGGAUAUGACCACGAUGUCUGAGGGCAACGGGGUAAAAGAUGACCGUUUACGGUUGUCGCCUUUUGAGGGGUCCACGUCCUAUCAGGUAGUUGGUGGGGUAAAGGCCUACCAAGCCAAAGACGGGUAGCCGGCCUUAGCGGGUGAUCGGCACACGGGGACUGAGACACGGCCCGACUCCUACGGGAGGCAGCAGUGGGGAAUAUUGGGCAAUGGGCGAAAGCCUGACCCAGCGAUGCCGCGUGAGGGAAGAAGGCCUUCGGGUUGUAAACCUAUGUCAAGAGGGACAGAAGGGUCUGCAAAUUAACCUUGCGGGCUUGACUGUACCUCCAGAGGAAGCCCCGGUUAACUCCGUGCCAGCAGCCGCGGUAUACGGAGGGGGCAGCGUUGCUCGGAAUUUACUGGGCGUAAAGAGUCCGUACGGUGGUCUUGGCAAGUUGGGAUGUGAAACGCCCGGGAGUUAAUCCCGGAUUGGAUCCAAAAUUGGUUCGAUUUGAAUCCA